UACGGGGGGGGCAAGCGUUGUUCGGAAUUACUGGGCGUAAAGGGCUCGUAGGCGGCCAACUAAGUCGGAUGUGAAAUCCCCAGGCUUAACCUGGGAACUGCAUCCGAUACUGGAUGGCUUGAAUCCGGGAGAGGGAUGCAGAAUUCCAGGUGUAGCGGUGAAAUGCGUAGAUAUCUGGAGGAAUACCGGUGGCGAAGGCGGCAUCCUGGACCGGCAUUGACGCUGAUGAGCGAAAAGCUAGGGGAGCAAACGGGG
This 255-nucleotide ribosomal RNA is filed under the name uncultured bacterium. RNAcentral describes it as "partial 16S ribosomal RNA". It matches the Rfam family "Bacterial small subunit ribosomal RNA", at positions 524 to 777 of the family's 1533-position model. The record is from RNAcentral.